GGCACUGUGGUUCAAGUGGUAGAGUGCUUGCCUUGCAUGCAUGAGGCCCUGGGUUCAAUUCCUCAGCACCA
RNAcentral lists this transfer RNA (71 nucleotides) under Dipodomys ordii (Ord's kangaroo rat). It matches the Rfam family "tRNA". Rfam says of the family: Transfer RNA (tRNA) molecules are approximately 80 nucleotides in length. Their secondary structure includes four short double-helical elements and three loops (D, anti-codon, and T loops). Further hydrogen bonds mediate the characteristic L-shaped molecular structure. tRNAs have two regions of fundamental functional importance: the anti-codon, which is responsible for specific mRNA codon recognition, and the 3' end, to which the tRNAs corresponding amino acid is attached (by aminoacyl-tRNA synthetases). tRNAs cope with the degeneracy of the genetic code in two manners: having more than one tRNA (with a specific anti-codon) for a particular amino acid; and 'wobble' base-pairing, i.e. permitting non-standard base-pairing at the 3rd anti-codon position. The record is from Rfam by way of RNAcentral. Lineage: Eukaryota; Metazoa; Chordata; Mammalia; Rodentia; Heteromyidae.